UGAGGAAUAUUGGUCAAUGGGCGAGAGCCUGAACCAGCCAAGUAGCGUGCAGGAUGACGGCCCUAUGGGUUGUAAACUGCUUUUAUAUGGGAAUAAAGUGAGGGACGUGUCCCUUAUUGCAUGUACCAUACGAAUAAGGACCGGCUAAUUCCGUGCCAGCAGCCGCGGUAAUACGGAAGGUCCAGGCGUUAUCCGGAUUUAUUGGGUUUAAAGGGAGCGUAGGCUGUUUGUUAAGCGUGUUGUGAAAUGUAGGAGCUCAACUUUUAGAUUGCAGCGCGAACUGGCAGACUUGAGUGCGCACAACGUAGGCGGAAUUCAUGGUGUAGCGGUGAAAUGCUUAGAUAUCAUGACGAACUCCGAUUGCGAAGGCAGCUUACGGGAGCACAACUGACGCUAAAGCUCGAAGGUGCGGGUAUCGAACAGG
Molecule: ribosomal RNA, 424 nt
Filed under: Verrucomicrobiota bacterium
Lineage: Bacteria; Pseudomonadati; Verrucomicrobiota
Description: Verrucomicrobia bacterium partial 16S ribosomal RNA
Rfam family: Bacterial small subunit ribosomal RNA
Source: RNAcentral